ACGCAGCUAACGCGUGAAGUAGACCGCCUGGGGAGUACGGUCGCAAGAUUAAAACUCAAAGGAAUUGACGGGGACCCGCACAAGCGGUGGAUGAUGUGGAUUAAUUCGAUGCAACGCGAAAAACCUUACCUACCCUUGACAUGGAUGGAAUCCGAAGAGAUUUGGGAGUGCUCGAAAGAGAACCAUCACACAGGUGCUGCAUGGCUGUCGUCAGCUCGUGUCGUGAGAUGUUGGGUUAAGUCCCGCAACGAGCGCAACCCUUGUCAUUAGUUGCUACGAAAGGGCACUCUAAUGAGACUGCCGGUGACAAACCGGAGGAAGGUGGGGAUGACGUCAAGUCCUCAUGGCCCUUAUGGGUAGGGCUUCACACGUCAUACAAUGGUACAUACAGAGGGCCGCCAACCCGCGAGGGGGAGCUAAUCCCAGAAAGUGUAUCGUAGUCCGGAUUGGAGUCUGCAACUCGACUCCAUGAGUUGGACGCUAUAUGGGAU
Molecule: ribosomal RNA, 491 nt
Filed under: Herbaspirillum sp.
Lineage: Bacteria; Pseudomonadati; Pseudomonadota; Betaproteobacteria; Burkholderiales; Oxalobacteraceae
Description: bacterial SSU rRNA
Rfam family: Bacterial small subunit ribosomal RNA
Source: RNAcentral